GGUGCCGCCUGCCCAGUGACUCUUUUAACGGCCGCGGUAUCCUAACCGUGCAAAGGUAGCAUAAUCACUUGUCCCAUAAAUCGAGACCGGAAUGAAUGGCUAAAUGAAGACUAAACUGUCUCUUACGGACUAGCCAAUGAAAUUGAUUUUCCAGUACAAAAGCUGAAAUAAACUCAUAAGACGAGAAGACCCUGUGGAGCUUUAAAACCACAACCAUCGAGCAUGUUUCCUUCGGUUUUUAGUUGGGGCGACUUCGGAGCAUAAAAAACCCUCCAAAACAUGAAUAUAAUCAAGAUCAACAUUUCAAAAAUAAUAUCAUAAGAUCCAGUAACUAUCCCACGUUAUCUGAUCAAUGAACCAAGUUACCCCAGGGAUAACAGCGCCAUCCCCUUCUAGAGUCCAUAUCGACAAGGGGGCUUACGACCUCGAUGUUGGAUCAGGACAUCCCAAUGGUGCAGCCGCCAUUAAAGGUUCGUUUGUUCAACGAUUAAAGUCCUA
RNAcentral lists this ribosomal RNA (498 nucleotides) under Iberolacerta cyreni castilliana. RNAcentral's name for it is "partial 16S ribosomal RNA". It matches the Rfam family "Bacterial large subunit ribosomal RNA", at positions 1851 to 2598 of the family's 2925-position model. The record is from RNAcentral. Lineage: Eukaryota; Metazoa; Chordata; Lepidosauria; Squamata; Lacertidae.